Molecule: long non-coding RNA, 1469 nt
Organism: Bombus terrestris (buff-tailed bumblebee)
Lineage: Eukaryota; Metazoa; Arthropoda; Insecta; Hymenoptera; Apidae
Exons: 2
Source: RefSeq, a predicted model, not a curated record
GUCAAGUUACAAGGAAGUUAGUCGUUACAACGGAUCAGUAAAGUCGACAGCCAGUUCGAGACAACAUUAAUAAACGCACUAUUUUGAAGUAAUACACCGAGUAGUCCUGUGGCACCCUUCACGCCCUACAUCUCACAACCUUGAUAAAUUCAACCGCAUAAUGUUUUGUUGAAGUAAUUACUUCAAGAAAAACUCUACACCUUUUCUUUUGUAUAUGGAGACCGCUGCUACGAAGAAAAUAGAAUUUAGUGAAACAAAAAAUUCGAAAUAAGGAGAUCCAUAUUAUUGUGCCCUUGGAUAUAAAUUUUGUUUUGAAAAGAUCUAGAAACAAAAGAGCUAUAAGUAAAUUUCUAUUGCUGUUCCUCGUAGCCUUCAGCUAAAGCUACAAGAUUAACCUUUUAGUAAUGUUCUUUGCUAUAAAUAUAUGAACGUGUUCCCUAUCAUUCUUCUUCCUAUUGUGUCGUAACACUGUAAGAGUGAAGAUCUGGAUCAGCAUACGCUAUACCUGUACUUAUACUUAUACCUUUAUUUAUUUCAAUAUAUUUUUCUAUUACAAAUUCAUCCACUCGUUCCUCUAUCAGUCAACCUCAACGAUUUUCACCGCGGGAAGGAAGUGUUAGAAGAAUUGGAGAGUGUUAUGAACGAUGCACAUUAAUGUUAUGUAGAAUUACUGAAGAGAAUUAUUGUACGAAGCUAUACUACAAGUAAACACCAUCUUUGGUACGGAUUUAAUUUUCAAAACAUCAAUGAUACGGAACCCGAAUUGUUUGACGUCCGUUUAAACAAAAAGAAGAAAUACAUCCAGAAAUGUAUUUGGAUAUAUUUAUUUGGAUUGGAUUGGAAAACUAUUUAACUUUGUUCAAACGUCCCAUUAAAAAUGAAAGGAGAAUUGUAUUACGUUCUGAUAGAAUAUUAGUAAUUAGUAAUAUUAGUAAUUACAGAUAACAAGAUUCGCGUGGUAAAUACCGGGGAAAUAGAUUAGAACGACCACAGAGGUACCAAUAACUUAUGCCAACAUGAGAUGGUACGGAAAAUAAUCAAGGAUCGAAGAAUAUUAGAAAAGAAAAUUAUUCGUCAAUUCGUCACAGACAAUCGCCGUAUACGAGCUCAAUUAUAACAGUAAAGAAAAAAGAUGGAAAUGAUAGAUUAUGCGUGGGUUACCGAGUUUUAAAACCUACAACAGUAAGGGAUCGAUAUACUUCAUCACGGAUCGAUGAUUAACUUGAUCGUCUAGGACAAGGUAAAUACCGUUCUAUAUAUUGGAUAUGGUGCCAGGAGUCCACCAUAUACCAAUACAUGAAAAUUCAAGAAAGCGGUUUCACUUUCAUCGCCCCUGAUGAGCAUUAUGAAUAUUUAAGAAUGUCGUGGCUUGACUUCACAGUCAUACGACAUUUUUUUUUUUAUUAUUAUUACCAGAUUUUGUGUAUUACAUAUUUGUAUUUUCCAUAAUAAACGAUGAAUUCUGGUUG